Molecule: small nuclear RNA, 118 nt
Organism: Anolis sagrei ordinatus
Lineage: Eukaryota; Metazoa; Chordata; Lepidosauria; Squamata; Anolidae
Product: U5 spliceosomal RNA
Source: RefSeq, a predicted model, not a curated record
AUACUUUGGUUUCUCUUCAAAUCAUAUAAAUCUUUUGUCUUUUACUAAAGAUUUCCGUGGAGAGGAACAUUUAUGCUUCCUCGCAGAUGUGUUUGGCAGGGUUUAAGAGACAGGGCCU